CACUAGUGUGCCGUGAGAGAUCGUCAGGUGUGCCGUGGGAAAUUAUUAGGAGGCAGCAGAGGGCGAUAUACCUGUAAAGACAAGCGAGGUAGGCUGCGUGACACGUGACACUGACAGUGUGGGAUCGCAGCAGGAGGAGGCGAGCAAGUGACAGUGAUGGAGAAGUUUUUGAGAAGGGAAAAUGUAAAUGCCGGACAGGGUCCUGGACAAAAUUCUGACCCAAAUGAAGGCCCCAGUAUGAGUGGUCGACAAAAUAAAAAAGACAAGACGGUGAGCUCGAGGCAAUACAGCGAAAGCUAUCUUUCAUUUGGAUUUACUUUCACCGGGGAUGCGACAGCACCGACUCCGCAGUGCUUGGUGUGUGGUGAGAAGCUAUCCAAUAGCGCCAUGGUGCCAAGCAAGCUUAAACGCCAUCUCCAAACGAAACACCCUUCCGUUCAAAACAAGCCGAUGGACUAUUUUGUACGCUUACGUACAAACAAUGAGAAACAGGCAACUUUUCUGAGAAAAACCACAAAGGUAAACGAGAGAGCCCUCAAAGCUAGCUACCUUGUUGCUGAACUCGUAGCUAAAUCAAAAAAGUCCCACACUGUGGCAGAAACAUUAAUACUGCCAGCUUGUAAAGCCAUCGUAAAUGAGAUGCUCGGCCCUGACGCGGCCAAAGAGAUCGCUAAAGUGCCUCUCUCAGAUAACACAAUUGCCAGACGUAUUGAUGAUAUGUCUGCGGACAUCGAAACUAUUGUUUUGGAAAAGAUGCGCAUCUGUAAGAAAUUUGCCUUGCAAAUUGAUGAGUCGACGGAUAUUAGUGGACAUUGUCAGCUCUUGGCCAACGUGCGUUUUGUGGAUGGAGAAGCCAUUAAAGAAAACUUCCUAUUUUGCAAGACACUGCCAGAAAAAUCAACAGGAGAGGAAAUAUUUCGGGUCACGUCGGAAUAUUUUGACAAAAGCGGGCUUUCGUGGGAAAACUGCACAGGUGUCUGCACUGAUGGAGCCGCAGCCAUGGUCGGGCGCGUCAAAGGCUUCGUAAGUAGGGUCAAAGAAAAAAACCCGGAUGUUAUUGUUACGCACUGUUUUUUGCACCGUGAGGCACUCGUUGCAAAGACCUUACCAGCAGAUCUAGCUCCUGUUUUGGAUGAUGUUGUGCGCAUAGUGAACUUUGUGAAGACGCGACCUUUGAAAUGUCGCUUAUUUGCGUCUUUGUGUGAGGAAAUGGGAGCGGAACAUAAAGUGUUAUUGCUCCACACGGAGGUCCGGUGGCUGUCGCGCGGCAAAGUGCUUGCCCGUGUGUAUGAGCUGCGAGAGGAACUUAAAGUAUUUCUGACAAACGAGAGGUCCGAUUACUCAAAGCUGCUUGCAAGUAAUGAGUGGUGUGCAAAGCUGGCAUACCUGGCUGAUAUAUUUCAUCAUCUGAAUGAACUGAACACACGGAUGCAAGGCCGAAAUGAAAAUCUGCUUACAAGCACUGAUAAAAUGAAUGGAUUCCGUUUGAAGUUGCAGCUCUGGCAACAACAUGUGCAGCGUGGCAACCUUGAAAUGUUCCCAUUCACCGAGAAACUGCAUGAUGGCAACACUGCUGCAAUGUGCGAAGUGAUUGGCACACAUUUGAAAACUCUUGAGAAAAAGUUGUUAUUUUAUUUCUCUUCAGCCUUCACAGAAUGCCUUGACUGGGUCAGGGACCCAUACAGCUCAGCAUCCAUUGCUGGUAAGGACAUGACUUUAAAGGAGCAAGAGGAACUCAUUGAACUGAAACAAGAUCGGGGUUUAAAGCUAAACUUUGCUGAUCUUCCUUUGGACAGUUUUUGGUUAUCUGUUGCCAAGGAGUUCCCCAUUCUGGCCAACAAAGCCAUUUUGACAUUGCUCCCGUUUUCAACCACAUAUCUAUGUGAGCUGAGCUUCUCAAGCUUGACUGCGAUAAAAACUAAAAACAGAGAGAGACUGAGAGCUGUUGAGGAAGAGCUUCGUGUGUGUCUUUCUACCAUUUCUGCCAGGAUAUCCAUUUUGUGUUCAUCGAAACAGGCCCAGGUUUCACACUAGAUGAUGUUUUACAGAUCAUCUUCAAGCCGCUUCAGGAUGUGCUGUUCCCGACCGGAACUCUCUAAUAACUAAAGUUCCUUGGGUGAAUAACGUAGACUCACUACACCGAAAUGGCAACAGCGGAGGAUGAAUGUCCCAC
Molecule: RNA transcript, 2173 nt
Organism: Entelurus aequoreus (snake pipefish)
Lineage: Eukaryota; Metazoa; Chordata; Actinopteri; Syngnathiformes; Syngnathidae
Gene name: zinc finger BED domain-containing protein 5-like
Exons: 4
Source: RefSeq, a predicted model, not a curated record